Molecule: non-coding RNA, 755 nt
Organism: Coturnix japonica (Japanese quail)
Lineage: Eukaryota; Metazoa; Chordata; Aves; Galliformes; Phasianidae
Source: RefSeq, a predicted model, not a curated record
GGGACCCGAUGCCAUUCUGGAGAUUUAUUAGUGAAUCCUUCAUCUGCAAGACAAGAAACACCUCCAGUGUGCUGCUACCCUGGGAUUUCCUUCCUCAUUGGUGCCUCCUCCAUCCAUUGAUUCUCCCCUUGACUUCAGCUCCCAUGAGAUGACAGAGAAACCAUCUGAACAGCCCUUGGGACCUCCUGCCCAGCCCAGUGUCAGAAGAUGGACUUUAAAGGGAGAUGGGAGCGGAGGUGAUGCACCCGAUGGGCUGCAGUGGUCCAGGCCUAAUCAAUCCUCCAGUUGGAAGCACUCAAGACACUGAUGAGAAGAUCCCCAGGACUGGCUGCUCUGAGCUGCCAAUCAGGGGUUCAAGCAGGUGAAAGCAAUGUGCCUGGAGAGCAGGUGGAGCUUUCUUGGGCCAAGCUGAGGAUAAAUCUCCAUGGAGCAUAAAAGCCGUGAGGAGGAGCAGAGUUCAGGCAGCUGCAGGAAGACUUCAGGGCAUAUCAGGGUGAUUUCUGCAUGCUUUUCCCUGGAGAGAGAUUUAUCAUCACCUUGAGCCAAUCAUUGCCUGGUGUGCUGCAGUCUUGUUGCUGUAAGCAGCAACCUGUCCUUGUGAUCUUCCCAACAGGAGCUUGAGUGCUUGCAACUGGCCUGCUCAACCAGCUCCAAAGGUGGAUAUAAAGCAAUGACACUUCAAGCACAACUACAACAAGCUACUGCAGUUUUAAAAUGGAUGCACUGUCCAUCUCUAAUAAAUACUUCUAAUAACA